CAAAAACAUCGCCUCUUGAUUACCAUAAGAGGUCUAGCCUGCCCAGUGACCAAUUUAACGGCCGCGGUACCCUAACCGUGCAAAGGUAGCAUAAUCACUUGUUUCUUAAAUGGGGACUAGUAUCAAUGGCAUCACGAAGACUACACUGUCUCCCCUUUAAAAUCAAUGAAACUGAUCCCCUCGUGAAGAAGCGAGGAUAUAAAUAUAAGACGAGAAGACCCCAUGGAGCUUUAAACGAACUUCAAUUGCUCCCCUCCUUACCAUAUAAGUUGAGCACUAAUGAUAGGUAGUUUUCGGUUGGGGCGACCGCGGAGUAAAACAAAACCUCCACAAUGAAUGUAAUAAAUACUAAUAAAAGAACCACAAUUCUAAUAAUCAAAAAUUUGACAUAAAUUGACCCAAACACUUGAUCAAUGAACCAAGUUACCCUGGGGAUAACAGCGCAAUCCAUUUUAAGAGCCCUUAUCGACAAAUGGGUUUACGACCUCGAUGUUGGAUCAGGGUAUCCCAGUGGUGCAGCCGCUACUAAUGGUUCGUUUGUUCAACGAUUAAAACCCUACGUGAUCUG
RNAcentral lists this ribosomal RNA (568 nucleotides) under Leptopelis cf. kivuensis 1 FP-2014. RNAcentral's name for it is "partial 16S ribosomal RNA". It matches the Rfam family "Bacterial large subunit ribosomal RNA", at positions 1808 to 2607 of the family's 2925-position model. The record is from RNAcentral. Lineage: Eukaryota; Metazoa; Chordata; Amphibia; Anura; Arthroleptidae.